Molecule: ribosomal RNA, 252 nt
Filed under: Clostridioides difficile
Lineage: Bacteria; Bacillati; Bacillota; Clostridia; Peptostreptococcales; Peptostreptococcaceae
Description: partial 23S ribosomal RNA
Rfam family: Bacterial large subunit ribosomal RNA
Source: RNAcentral
UGAGAGAAGGGAUGACACAGUAGGAUAAGCUAAGCACACUGUUGGUUAUGUGUGCCCAAGCAUUGAGGCGGUCAAAGUAGGCAAAUCCGCUUUGAUAAUGCUGGGAUGUGAUGGGGAGCGAAAUUUAGUAGCGAAGUAGCUGAUUUCACACUGUCAAGAAAAGUCUCUAUCGAGGUUAAAGGUACCCGUACCGCAAACCGACACAGGUGGGUGAGGAGAGUAUCCUAAGGCCAGCGAGAGAACUGUUGUUAA